UCUCCGUUGGUGAACCAGCGGAGGGAUCAUUACAGGACUCGCAAGACUCCUUCACCCUGUGAACCUCACUACAAGCACGUUGCUACGGAGGGUUUCCCGGCGGGGGUUAUCCCUCGCCGGAGCGCACAGCCGGACGGCAGCUUACUAUACUCUGUCGCUUUGCGUUGGCAACUCGAGAAAAAACAAACAAGUUAAAACUUUCAACAACGGAUCUCUUGGUUCUG
This 224-nucleotide unclassified non-coding RNA is filed under the name plant metagenome. RNAcentral describes it as "partial contains small subunit ribosomal RNA, internal transcribed spacer 1, and 5.8S ribosomal RNA". The record is from RNAcentral.